RNAcentral lists this ribosomal RNA (253 nucleotides) under uncultured bacterium. Its description in RNAcentral is "partial 16S ribosomal RNA". It matches the Rfam family "Bacterial small subunit ribosomal RNA", at positions 524 to 776 of the family's 1533-position model. The record is from RNAcentral.
UACGAGGGGGGCGAGCGUUGUUCGGAAUUAUUGGGCGUAAAGGGUGCGUAGGCGGUUUGGUAAGUCUGAUGUGAAAUCUAUGGGCUCAACUCAUAGUCUGCAUCGGAAACUGCCGGGCUUGAGUGUGGGAGAGGUGAGUGGAAUUCCUGGUGUAGCGGUGAAAUGCGUAGAUAUCAGGAGGAACACCUGUGGCGAAAGCGGCGCACUGGACCACAACUGACGCUGAGGCGCGAAAGCUAGGGGAGCAAACAGG